UACGUAGGGUGCAAGCGUUGUCCGGAAUUAUUGGGCGUAAAGAGCUCGUAGGCGGUUUGUUGCGUCGGCUGUGAAAACUCGGGGCUCAACCCCGAGCCUGCAUUCGAUACGGGCAGACUUGAGUUCGGCAGGGGAGACUGGAAUUCCUGGUGUAGCGGUGAAAUGCGCAGAUAUCAGGAGGAACACCGGUGGCGAAGGCGGGUCUCUGGGCCGAUACUGACGCUGAGGAGCGAAAGCGUGGGGAGCGAACAGG
Molecule: ribosomal RNA, 253 nt
Filed under: uncultured bacterium
Lineage: Bacteria
Description: partial 16S ribosomal RNA
Rfam family: Bacterial small subunit ribosomal RNA
Source: RNAcentral